This 406-nucleotide ribosomal RNA is filed under the name uncultured bacterium. RNAcentral's name for it is "partial 16S ribosomal RNA". It matches the Rfam family "Bacterial small subunit ribosomal RNA", at positions 30 to 526 of the family's 1533-position model. The record is from RNAcentral.
AUUGAACGCUGGCGGCAGGCCUAACACAUGCAAGUCGAACGAGUGGCGGACGGGUGAGUAAUGUCUGGGAAACUGCCCGAUGGAGGGGGAUAACUACUGGAAACGGUAGCUAAUACCGCAUACCAUCGGAUGUGCCCAGAUGGGAUUAGCUAGUAGGUGGGGUAAUGGCUCACCUAGGCGACGAUCCCUAGCUGGUCUGAGAGGAUGACCACGAAGUCUGGAACUGAUACACGGUCCAGACUCCUACGGGAGGCAGCAGUGAGGAAUAUUGCACAAUGGGCGCAAGCCUGAUGCAGCCAGGCCGCGUGUAUGAAGAAGGCUUUCGGGUUGUAAAGUACUUUCAGCGGGGAGGCGUUACCCGCAGAAGAAGCACCGGCUAACUCCGUGCCAGCAGCCGCGGUAAUAG